Molecule: long non-coding RNA, 143 nt
Filed under: Dromaius novaehollandiae (emu)
Lineage: Eukaryota; Metazoa; Chordata; Aves; Casuariiformes; Dromaiidae
Description: lncRNA (ENSDNVG00000013017.1)
Source: RNAcentral
CAAAGACCCCCCUGGAGGAACCAUGCUGCCGCAGACAGGCCAUCUCCCCUUCCCCUCCAAGCAGAGGUCUCCCUUUUGCUGCAAUGUGUUCUGGUGUGUUCGGAUUUUUCUGCCAGCCUCCGUUCCCCUUAUCUCCCUUGGAU